CCUGAUCCAGCCAUGCCGCGUGAGUGAAGAAGGCUCGGGUUGUAAAGCUCUUCGGCGGGGACGAAACGGUCCGUGCCAACACCACGGACUAAUGACGGUACUCGCAGAAGAAGCACCGGCUAACUACGUGCCAGCAGCCGCGGUAAUACGUAGGGUGCGGGCGUUAAUCGGAAUUACUGGGCGUAAAGCGUGCGCAGGCGGCUCCUUAAGUCAGAUGUGAAAUCCCCGGGCUUAACCUGGGAACUGCGUUUGAAACUGAGGGGCUUGAGUGUGGAAGAGGGGGGUGGAAUUCCAGGUGUAGCAGUGAAAUGCGUAGAGAUCUGGAGGAACACCGAUGGCGAAGGCAGCCCCCUGGGCUAACACUGACGCUCAUGCACGAAAGCGUGGGGAGCAAACAGGAUUAGAUACCCUGGUAGUCCACGCCCUAAACGAUGUCAACUGGUUGUCGGGGAAGCAAUUCCUUGGUAACGAAGCUAACGCGUGAAGUUGACCGCCUGGGGAGUACGGCCGCAAGGUUA
Molecule: ribosomal RNA, 518 nt
Filed under: uncultured Pseudomonadota bacterium
Lineage: Bacteria; Pseudomonadati; Pseudomonadota
Description: bacterial SSU rRNA
Rfam family: Bacterial small subunit ribosomal RNA
Source: RNAcentral